GACGAACGCUGGCGGCGUACUUAACACAUGCAAGUCGAACGGAAAGGCCCUGCUUUUGUGGGGUGCUCGAGUGGCGAACGGGUGAGUAACACGUGAGUAACCUGCCCUUGACUUUGGGAUAACUUCAGGAAACUGGGGCUAAUACCGGAUAGGAGCUCCUGCUGCAUGGUGGGGGUUGGAAAGUUUCGGCGGUUGGGGAUGGACUCGCGGCUUAUCAGCUUGUUGGUGGGGUAGUGGCUUACCAAGGCUUUGACGGGUAGCCGGCCUGAGAGGGUGACCGGCCACAUUGGGACUGAGAUACGGCCCAGACUCCUACGGGAGGCAGCAGUGGGGAAUAUUGCACAAUGGGCGGAAGCCUGAUGCAGCAACGCCGCGUGCGGGAUGACGGCCUUCGGGUUGUAAACCGCUUUCGCCUGCGACGAAGCGUGAGUGACGGUAAUGGGUAAAGAAGCACCGGCUAACUACGUG
Molecule: ribosomal RNA, 468 nt
Filed under: uncultured bacterium
Lineage: Bacteria
Description: partial 16S ribosomal RNA
Rfam family: Bacterial small subunit ribosomal RNA
Source: RNAcentral